GAACUAUGAGCAAGCGGCGUGUCUCUUCGUCGGCUUGGAAGAAGUUCUGAGUGGAAAGGUGGUGUUUGAGGGUGUCAAAAGAGAUAGGGUUGGUAGUGGUGGGGGUGGAGGAGGAAGUUGUAGGAGAAAGAGAGAAAGUGGUGGUCGUGGAAGAGGUUGUGGUGGUGGUGGAGGAUGAGGAGGAGGAGGGGGAGGGGUGGAGGAAAAGGGAGGAAGGUGGAAGGUGGAAGGAUUCUGAGUUGGAGAGGCGUUUGAGGAAAGAAUAUUGGUGGUGAAGGGAUGCUAGAGAGUGGGUGGUCAUGGUUUGGGUUUGUGGUGGGAAUAGUGUGACAAUGGCGAAAGGUAAAGAGAGAAAAAGGAU
RNAcentral lists this long non-coding RNA (361 nucleotides) under Gossypium barbadense (sea-island cotton). RNAcentral's name for it is "long non-coding RNA (GBAR_LNC019553)". Lineage: Eukaryota; Viridiplantae; Streptophyta; Magnoliopsida; Malvales; Malvaceae. The record is from RNAcentral.